RNAcentral lists this ribosomal RNA (1300 nucleotides) under Vibrio cholerae. RNAcentral describes it as "partial 23S ribosomal RNA". It matches the Rfam family "Bacterial large subunit ribosomal RNA", at positions 1658 to 2925 of the family's 2925-position model. Lineage: Bacteria; Pseudomonadati; Pseudomonadota; Gammaproteobacteria; Vibrionales; Vibrionaceae. The record is from RNAcentral.
CACAGGUGGUCGGGUAGAGAAUACCAAGGCGCUUGAGAGAACUCGGGUGAAGGAACUAGGCAAAAUGGUACCGUAACUUCGGGAGAAGGUACGCUCUUGAUGGUGAAGUCCCUCGCGGAUGGAGCUGACGAGAGUCGCAGAUACCAGGUGGCUGCAACUGUUUAUUAAAAACACAGCACUGUGCAAAAUCGCAAGAUGACGUAUACGGUGUGACGCCUGCCCGGUGCCGGAAGGUUAAUUGAUGGGGUUAGCGCAAGCGAAGCUCUUGAUCGAAGCCCCGGUAAACGGCGGCCGUAACUAUAACGGUCCUAAGGUAGCGAAAUUCCUUGUCGGGUAAGUUCCGACCUGCACGAAUGGCGUAAUGAUGGCCACGCUGUCUCCACCCGAGACUCAGUGAAAUUGAAAUCGCUGUGAAGAUGCAGUGUACCCGCGGCUAGACGGAAAGACCCCGUGAACCUUUACUACAGCUUGGCACUGAACAUUGAACCUACAUGUGUAGGAUAGGUGGGAGGCUAUGAAGACGUGACGCCAGUUGCGUUGGAGCCGUCCUUGAAAUACCACCCUUGUAUGUUUGAUGUUCUAACUUAGACCCGUUAUCCGGGUUGAGGACAGUGCCUGGUGGGUAGUUUGACUGGGGCGGUCUCCUCCCAAAGAGUAACGGAGGAGCACGAAGGUGGGCUAAUCACGGUUGGACAUCGUGAGGUUAGUGCAAUGGCAUAAGCCCGCUUAACUGCGAGAAUGACGGUUCGAGCAGGUGCGAAAGCAGGUCAUAGUGAUCCGGUGGUUCUGUAUGGAAGGGCCAUCGCUCAACGGAUAAAAGGUACUCCGGGGAUAACAGGCUGAUACCGCCCAAGAGUUCAUAUCGACGGCGGUGUUUGGCACCUCGAUGUCGGCUCAUCACAUCCUGGGGCUGAAGUCGGUCCCAAGGGUAUGGCUGUUCGCCAUUUAAAGUGGUACGCGAGCUGGGUUUAGAACGUCGUGAGACAGUUCGGUCCCUAUCUGCCGUGGGCGUUGGAAGAUUGAAGGGGGCUGCUCCUAGUACGAGAGGACCGGAGUGGACGAACCUCUGGUGUUCGGGUUGUGUCGCCAGACGCAUUGCCCGGUAGCUAAGUUCGGAAUUGAUAAGCGCUGAAAGCAUCUAAGCGCGAAGCGAGCCCUGAGAUGAGUCUUCCCUGAUACUUUAAGUAUCCUAAAGGGUUGUUCGAGACUAGAACGUUGAUAGGCAGGGUGUGUAAGCGUUGUGAGGCGUUGAGCUAACCUGUACUAAUUGCCCGUGAGGCUUAACCAUACAACACCCAAG